Molecule: non-coding RNA, 74 nt
Organism: Potamilus streckersoni
Lineage: Eukaryota; Metazoa; Mollusca; Bivalvia; Unionida; Unionidae
Source: the annotation of a GenBank genome assembly
GCUUUGGUGGCCUAGUGGUUAGAGCGUCCGCCUCAAAUGCGGGAGUUCGCAGGAUCGAACCCCAGCCGAAUCCU